RNAcentral lists this ribosomal RNA (2193 nucleotides) under Anthopleura xanthogrammica (giant green sea anemone). RNAcentral describes it as "large subunit ribosomal RNA". It matches the Rfam family "Bacterial large subunit ribosomal RNA". The record is from RNAcentral. Lineage: Eukaryota; Metazoa; Cnidaria; Anthozoa; Actiniaria; Actiniidae.
AAUUAAAUUAAAAAGAGGAACGAAUGGCAAGCUAGGGUGCACUAAUAAGACGGAAAGCCCGAAAAGACGAGGGAGAAGUUUUGAACUCGGAUAUCUUCGCGGAAACGCAGAGAAAUAAACUGGAAACUGAAACAUCUAAGUACCAGAGCCGAUUGGCACAGAGAAAUCAAACGAGCUUCCGUGAGUAGCGGCGAGCGAAAGCGGAAAAGUCCUCAAUGAGUUAGUAAUGGAAGAUAGGUGUCUACACAUCUAAGACUAAAUGUUAGUGCACACCGAAAGAGAGAGUACUGUGAAGGAAGGCUGAAAGAGACUUGAAAAGAUCUUAAAAUAAGUUCCCUUAAGCAGACAUAUUAUGUCGUACCUUUUGUAUAAUGGGUUCGCAAGGAAAAAUUUGGCAAACUUAAGUUUAGAGACGAAGGUGUAGUGAAAUCAAGGGGGAAUCUCCUCUUCAAGUCAAAUUACCCGAAACCAAGUGACCUAGCCCUGGGUAGUUCAAAGGAACGAACCGUUGAUUGUAGCAAAAAUCUCGGAUGACCUGUGGCUAGGGGUGAAAGACUAAUCAAACUUGGAGAUAGCUGGUUUUCUGCGAAAACUAUUGAAGUAGUGCGUCCAAGUAACUUAAUUUUAUAUGAUAAAGCUCAAUCGCUCGGAGAGCGAUUAACUCUGAAUGUAAAAAAUUAAGGUGGAUAGACAGACAGUGGGCGAUAAGGUCAAUUGUCAAAAGGGGUAAGCCCUAAUCAGAAGUUAAAGCCACAGAUCAAAGUUUUUUAUCAAGUGUGAAAGGGAUGUGGAAUUUAGACAAUGAGGAAGUAGGCUUGGAACCAGCCAUCUUUGAAAGAUGACGUAAAAGUUCACUCAAGAAAUUCUUUUAUCCCUAAAAUUAUGGUGGCUAAAGUUGAGCUGAAACUCUGAGAGCAAAGUAUUAUUUGCUCGGUAGCAGAACGAACUGUAAUAUUGGUUCGGCGAGAGCCCAACCAUCAGAAGUGAUAAUGCGAACAUGAGUAAAAAAUCGUUGGAUCACUCCCCCAAGGCUCCAAUUAUAAAUUGGGUUAUACAGCCCCUAAGAUAGUAACCCUCUGGUUGCGUCAAUGGGUCUUAUAAAAAACGCACGAAGUGCCAGGAAAGAUUUAUAAAUUUUUACUGUACUAGUCUAACGCAAGUGGGGUGAAGUGAGGAGAGAACUUCUCUUAAGGAACUCGGCAAAAUUUGGGCUUCGACUGUUUACCAAAAACAUAGCUCUCUGCUAAAGCUAAAUGCUGAAGUAUGGAGGGUGAGGCCUGCCCAAUGGUUGUAUCUAAAAGAGUUGGCUAAGGUCAACUUCAUAAGGGCAAUUGAAUGGCCGCGGUAACACUGACCGUGAUAAUGUAGCGUAAUCAAUAGCCAAUUAAUUGUUGGCCGGUAUGAAUGGCGUCACGAAGGCCCCACUGUCUUAAGAGGACUCUCCAUGAAAUUGAAUUCGUAGUGAAGAUGCUACGUCCAUAUUGUAAGACGAAAAGACCCCAUUGAGCUUUACUAAAGACUUGCAUGGCUCAAAAUAAUUUGACUUAAAUAAAGAGUUUAGAUAAUGUGGGACCCGUUUUCGGUUAAUGAAACACCACUCUUUUAUUUUAAGAGAGCUAACAUUACAGGGAUAGUGUAAGUUGGAUAGUUUGGUUGGGGCGACCACCUUUUAAAAGGUAACGAAGGUGAGCUUAAGGUCCGUAGUUAAUAGCCGGUGGCCUGACUGCAAGGGGGACGUCUCGAGCAGACACGUCCUUAGGGAUGUGGACUAUAGUGACCCGUCAUCUUAGUGUGGAAUAGUUGACGAUCAACGAAUAAAAGCUACCAUGGGGAUAACAGCGUUAUAUCGUUAGAGAGUUUUCAUCGACGACGAUGUUUGCGACCUCGAUGUUGAAUUGCGGCACCCUGGGGUGCAGCCGCCCCCAAGGGUUGGUCUGUUCGUCCAUUAAAGCCGUACAUGAUUUGAGUUAAAAGCGUGGCAACACAGCUUGGUUUCUAUCUACAAUAUGAAGAAACAUCAAUAUAAUUAUCUUCUAGUACGAAAGGACCGAAGAAUUAGCGAUCCUCUUAUUUUUACAAGUUACGAUCGAUCCAUUGGCCCCCUAGUCCGAGGCCUCAUAGUUAAUCACUGAUUGCCUCUUAAGUGUGAAAAUUAUAUUGAACUGUUUGAUGUAAAGUAAAAUUAUAAUUAUG